CAGUCGAACGAGAGAAGAUCGGUGCUUGCACUGAUCCGAUCGAGUGGCGCACGGGUGAGUAACGCGUGGGUAACCUGCCUCAUACAGGGGAAUAACAGUUGGAAACGGCUGCUAAAACCGCAUAAGCGCACAGUAUCGCAUGAUACAGUGUGAAAAACUCCGGUGGUAUGAGAUGGACCCGCGUCUGAUUAGCUAGUUGGUGAGGUAACGGCCCACCAAGGCAACGAUCAGUAGCCGGCCUGAGAGGGUGAACGGCCACAUUGGGACUGAGACACGGCCCAAACUCCUACGGGAGGCAGCAGUGGGGAAUAUUGCACAAUGGGGGAAACCCUGAUGCAGCGACGCCGCGUGAGUGAUGAAGUAUUUCGGUAUGUAAAGCUCUAUCAGCAGGGAAGAUAAUGACGGUACCUGACUAAGAAGCACCGGCUAAAUACGUGCCAGCAGCCGCGGUAAUACGUAUGGUGCAAGCGUUAUCCGGAUUUACUGGGUGUAAAGGGUGCGUAGGUGGUGAGACAAGUCUGAAGUGAAAAUCCGGGGCUUAACCCCGGAACUGCUUUGGAAACUGCCUGACUAGAGUACAGGAGAGGUAAGUGGAAUUCCUAGUGUAGCGGUGAAAUGCGUAGAUAUUAGGAGGAACACCAGUGGCGAAGGCGACUUACUGGACUGCUACUGACACUGAGGCACGAAAGCGU
RNAcentral lists this ribosomal RNA (692 nucleotides) under uncultured bacterium. RNAcentral describes it as "bacterial SSU rRNA". It matches the Rfam family "Bacterial small subunit ribosomal RNA", at positions 59 to 762 of the family's 1533-position model. The record is from RNAcentral.